RNAcentral lists this ribosomal RNA (625 nucleotides) under uncultured bacterium. RNAcentral describes it as "bacterial SSU rRNA". It matches the Rfam family "Bacterial small subunit ribosomal RNA", at positions 28 to 687 of the family's 1533-position model. The record is from RNAcentral.
AACGAACGCUGGCGGCAGGCUUACACAUGCAGUCGAACGGGCGCUUUCGGGCGUCAGUGGCANACGGGUGAGUAACGCGUGGGAACCUACCCAUUGGUACGAAAUAACCCGGGGAAACCCGUGCUAAUACCGUAUACGCCCUGGUUUUAGGAUUGGGGGAAAGAUUCAUCGCCGAUGGAUGGGCCCGCGUCGGAUUAGCUUGUUGGUGUGGUAACGGCGCACCAAGGCGACGAUCCGUAGCUGGUCUGAGAGGAUGAUCAGCCACACUGGGACUGAGACACGGCCCAGACUCCUACGGGAGGCAGCAGUGGGGAAUAUUGGACAAUGGGCGCAAGCCUGAUCCAGUCAUGCCGCGUGAGUGAACAAGGCCUUAGGGUUGUAAAUCUCUUUCGGCGGGGAAGAUAAUGACGGUACCCGCAGAAGAAGCCCCGGCUAACUCCGUGCCAGCAGCCGCGGUAAUACGGAGGGGGCUAGCGUUGUUCGGAAUUACUGGGCGUAAAGGGCACGGUAGGCUGGCUGUUAAGUCGGGGGUGAAAUCCUGAGGCUCAACCUCCAAAUUGCCUCCGAUACUGGCGGUCUCGAGUGCGGGAGACGUGANUGGAAUUCCCAGUGUANAGGGUGAAAU